CGCCAUCUUCUUCCGCUUCUUCUAACGCGAGCGACAGCGCCGCGGGGCGGGUCUUUCCCGGCAACCAGGAGCGAAGAGGGCAGAACCCGCGAUGCGCAGGCGCCGCCGCCGAAAAGCCUUCUGGGACUUGUAGUUGUUUAAACCUCCAGUUCUGAUCUGGUUUCCUGCUAAUACUCUCAACAAAGUAGUGGAAGAUGGCUCAAGUACUUGGCCCCGUCAUCCACAUGGGAGACCUGGAAGGAGCUCUGGGCUCCUGGCUUUGGCCUUGCCCAACCCCAACUGUUGUGGCUAUUUGGAGUGCCAACCAGUGAAUGGAAAAAGAGAAGAAAAAGACAUAUUUAUUUUGCUGCCCCUCCCCACCUCCAGAAAGAGAAUGCGGGACAGCCCAUUUGGGUACCAGCCAGAAACAUCAAGCCUGCAACUGACAGUCAGUCAGAACCAGCUGAACAAGACUGAGAGUCGGCCUUGUUAGCAGAUGCACCUGCUACCGAUUGUGAAGCUGCUGCCCUAUCAUCCUGCCCUGAGGAACUGCCCACAGCCACAUCCGCUACUGCUUUAUACCCCACUAGCUCUGGUCAGCCACUGGAAUGGCCUACAGCCUGCGUGUGGUCACGCCAUUCCUGAUUACCAUUGUUCUUCAUUCCUACCCCCCAUCUGAGCAAGCACUCCUGUGGUCUCCCAUUUUGAGGGCUGGUUAGUCAGUGACGGGUAAGAUCCCCUGGGGAACAACCUAAGACAGGCACAGCCCCAUGAGGAGACCACAUGGAAAUGAGGUCAACAAUGGUAUGACCAAGGAUCAUGCUUCCUGUUGCUCAAAAAUGAACGAAAAGUGAGAAAUGUGGUAGUAUGAGAAGGCCAUGCCAAGAUGCCACCGGCAUGCGAGCAUCAGUUACUUAGGAAAUGGCUUUGGAACCCACCUGGCAAUGGAGCCUGCCUGGCAGUAGGCAGUGAUUGGUUAUGGCAUAAACCACCCCUUGACUGGAUUGGCUGCCACGGCUAUAUAAGCUGCUGCACCCACUGAGAUACACGAGUCUGCGAGCUGCUCGCCUCUAGCCCACUUUCACCCGACACCCGGUGUCUGUGUCAUGACUCUACACCUCUUGCCCCACCCCACCCCCCCGGCUCUUCUCUCAGAAUGAAUUCACAGCAACAGCCACCUGUAUGAGAGACAUGGAUACAGUUCUUGGACCUGGCCCAGCCUGGCAGUUGUGGCCAUUUGGGGAGUGAACCAGCAGAUAGAAGAUCUCUCUCUCUCUCUCUCUCUCUCUCUCUCUCUCUCUCUCUCUCGCUGUGUCUUUCAAAAAAAAAAUCAUUAAGAAGGCUGAUGACUGCAAAAGAAAAAUACACCUUAAAAAUGGAGAGAUCUGAUUGUAAUCACUGUAGCAUCACUAAUAUUGAGACUGACAUUAGCUGUUUCCAAUAAUUUCCCCAAUUUUCUGAUCAAGCCAGACCUAACUUCCAGUUAGCUAUCCAGGGGGCAGAGGAACAGUUUAUUUACUUAUUUUUGAAGAUUUAUUUAUUUAUUUGAAAGGCAUAGUUACACAGAAAGAAAGAUCUUGUGUCCACUGAUUCACUCCCCAAAUGGCUGCAACAGCUGGAGUUGGGCUGAUCCAAAGCCAAAAGCCAGGAGCCAGGAGCCAGGAGCUUCUUCCAGGUCUCUCACGCAGUGCAGUGGCCCAAGCACUUGGACCAUUUUGCACUGCUUUCCCAGACACAUUAGCAAGGAGCUGGGUCAUACGUGGAGCAACCAGGACUCUAACCUGAAGUCAUAUGGGAUGUUAGCAUUGCAGGAGGUGGCUUAACAUACUGCACCAUAACACUAGGAUCAAUUUAAACAGCAAGAGGAGGCCGGCGCUGCGGCUCAAUAGGCUAAUCCUCUGCCUUGUGGCACCGGCACACCGGGUUCUAGUCCCGGUCGGGGCACCGGAUUCUGUCCUGGUUGCCCCUCUUCCAGGCCAGCUCUCUGCUGUGGCCAGGGAGUGCAGUGGAGGAUGGCCCAGGUGCUUGGGCCCUGCACCCCAGGAAAAGCACCUGGCUCCUGCCAUCGGAUCAGCGCGGUGUGCCGGCCACAGCGUGCUGGCUGUGGCGGCCAUUGGAGGGUGAACCAACGGCAAAGGAAGACCUUUCUCUCUCUCUCUCUCACUGUCCACUCUGCCUGUCAAAAAAAAAAAAAAAAAAAAACAGCAAAAGGAAAUAAUUAAAAAGUACAGGGUGUAAUAUACUCUUCAGGAAAACUGACCUAGGCUCUUCAUUAUUUCACUGUCAUAGAUGCCAAUAGAAUGGAUGAAAAGAGACAUACCAGAUGCAUUAUUAAACCUUUAAUGGUGAUUUAAAAAUUUUUAGCUUUUAUUUGUUUUCAUUUUAUUUGAAAUAUAGAGAUACAGCCCAAGAGAGAUCUUCUAUCUGCUGGAUCACUCUCCAAAUGUCUGUAACAGCCAUUGCUGGGCAAAGGUGAAAUCAGGAGUCUGGAACUCGAUCUCCCAUGUGGGUGGCAGCAACCCAAGUACUUGAGCCCUCACCUGCUGCCUUCCAGAUUCUGCUGGGUCAGAAGCAGAGUAGCCAAGGCUCAAAACCAGGCACUCCAAUGUAGGAUGUGUGUGUCCUAAGUAACAUCUUUUUUUUUUUUUUUUUAGAUGUAUUUUAUUUGUUUGAAAGUCAGAGUUAGAGAGAGACAGAGUUAGGAGAGACAGAGAGUGAGAUCUUUGAUCUGCUGGUUCACUCCCCAAGUGGCUGCAAUGAUUAGGGCUGUGCCAGGCCGAAGCCAGGAGCCAGGAGCUUCAUCUGGGUCUCACAUGCGGAUGCAGGGGCCCAAGGACUUGGGCCUUCUGCUGCUUUCGCAAACCAUUAGCAGAGAGCUGGAUCAGACGCAGAGCAGCCAGGGCUCGAACUGGUGCCCAUAUGGGAUGACGGUACUGCAGGUAGCUGCCUGACCUAUUGUGCCAGAAUGCCAGCCCCACUAAGUGACAUCUUAACCAUAGUGCCAAAUGCCUUCCCCAAAGUGAAUUUUAUGAUAUGUGAGUUAUAUCUUUAAAGCUGUAAAAGCAAGUUAAAUAAAAUGUAAAAUAAAUAGAAUGAACAAAGAAGUGGAUAAAAAGUCUGGUAUACCUUUAUUUUUUAUCUUCAAAAUAAAAUUUAGAAUUAUUUUUUGGGUCCUUUAUAAAAAUCUGUACAUGUUUUGAUUGGCAUUGAGUUGUCCUUAAAAUUGAUAUGGAGAGGGCUGAUCACAGUUUUGUAUCUUCACAGUCAGGAACACUGUUCAGAUUUAGAGUUACUAAAAUCUUUCCUAUCUGCCAAUGACAUUUUUUAAAAGUUUUAUUUAUUUAUUUGAAAGACUUACACAGAGAGAGAAGGAGAGGCAGAGAGAGAGAGAGAGGUCUUCCAUCUGCUGGUUCACUCCCCAGUUGGCCGCAAUGGCCAGAGCUGUGAUGAUCUGAAACCAGGAGCCAGGAGCAUCCUUCAGGUCUUCCCAUGCAGGUGCAGGAGCCAAGGACUUGGGCCAUCUUCCCCUGCUUUCCUAGGUCAUAGCAGCGAGCUGGAUUGGAAGUGGAGCAGCUGGGUCUUGAACCGGCGUCCAUAUGGGAUACCGGCACUGCAGGUGGCGGCUUUACCUGCUAUGCCACAGCACCGGCCCCAACCAAUAACAUUUUGAGUUAUCUUUAUAUAGAUUAGACUCAUCACUCCCGAGAUGAAUUUGUAGGUAUUUCAUUUUUCUGUUAUCAUGAAUGCAAUCUCUGUUUUUAUAUGAUUACUAAAGAAAGCAGUCAUUUCUAUUAAGCAAGUUGAAAAUGUCAAUAAUGGACAGAAUCAAUUUUGUGACUGUAGAUGGCUUGAGCUUAGGGUCCAUGUAGGUUUGGUGAGACGAGCUCCUACGUCUUUCUGGGAUCGAGCAGUUCUUUGGGUUAAUGAGUAGGAAAGCAGUUUUGCUUUCAGCCCCUUCCCCCCUGCAAGCUCUGAGACUUCCUGCUUACAAGCACUGUGAGCCCUGCUGACCCCAUGUCUUUCCAGAUUUAAUUAUUCUUUUUGAAAGUUGGCUGCAACCUUAAGGGGAUAGCAAACAUAGAGAUCCGGUGGGGAUAAAGCUUUAGAGCCAAGAUAACUCUUCCUUUUUCUACUACAUAGGCUGACAGGGGAGCAAUCUGCCCCUUGCUCUGAGCCCUGCCAUUUGUUGUGAUCAUUUUCAUUCCCAUCAAGUGUGCCCUUGGCUCAGACAGCGGACCUCAGGUAGCUGAAGUGACUCCUUUUGUUAUUUCCUCCUCUGCUUCCCGGUAACAAGAUACUCUGCUGGAAUAUGCCUGUCUGGGCUAAAGAAGGAGCUGCAGUGGGUAAGGAGCCAAUGACUAUGAUUUAAUAACCAUGGAAAGAAAACACUGCAGGCAUUUGCCCUAAAGCAGUUAAGAUGUCCACGUGCCAUAUUGCAGUACCUGAGUUUGAUUCCUGGCUCUGGCUCCUGACUCCAGUUUUCUGCUAGUGUGGACCCUAGGAGGCAGGGGUAAUGGCCAAAGUGGUUGGGUCCCUGCCACUCCCAUGGGAGACCCAGAUUGAAUUCCUAGAUUCUAGCUUUGAUCCAGCCCAGCUCCAGCUGGUGAGAUUAUUUAGGAAGUAAAUAAUGGAUGGGAGCCCUUGCUCUGUCUCUCUGCCUUUCAAAUAAAUAAAAAAUAAAUUUUAAAAUAAAAGUUGAGAAAUUAUAAAGAUCUGGAAUUCUGAGUUCCCUUAAAAACCAGUAGAACUGGCAGCAUGGAGCCUGUCCCCAUGGUGACAAUCACAUAGAAGGCACUUCACUAUGUGGGAGUGUGGACCACAGUCCUCCCUCUCCCUACUGUAGCUCCAAGGCUGGAGGAGUCAGUGGCCAUUCGUUGUGGUAGCUGAAUUAUUUGAUGAUCAAUGUGAGAUGCUUCACAAACUUAUGAUGUUCUCAAAAGAGAGAUCAAGGGAGCUGCCUGAUUUAAGAAAAGUCGAUGAAGUUUUCAUGUUUUAAAGAUGAUUCUCGGCCGGCGCCGCAGCUCAAUAGGCUAAUCCUCCACCUGUGGUGCCGGCACACCAGGUUCUAGUCCCAGUAGGGGCGCCUGAUUCUGUCCCGGUUGCCCCUCUUCCAGGCCAGCUCUCUGCUGUGGCCAGGGAGUGCAGUGGAGGAUGGCCCAAGUGCUUGGGCCCUGCACCCCAUGGGAGACCAGGAGAAGCACCUGGCUCCUGCCUUAGGAUCAGCAUGGUGCGCCGGCCGCGGCGGCCAUUGGAGGGUGACCAAUGGCAAAGGAAGACCUUUCUCUCUGUCUGUCUCUCACUGUCCACUCUGCCUGUCAAAAAAAAAAAAAAGAUGAUUCUCGUGUCUGACCUGCUUCACUUAGUUUUGCGAAUCUUCCUGAGCUCCAUAGGUCUUGAGUUUGCAACUCCAAUUUGAAAAGGUAACCCUGAGACUAUGUGAAGCUGUGCAGGAGGUAAGCCCAAGGGGCUUUGCAAACACCCAGGAGACCUGUUAGCAGACCUGGGCUGUGCAGAGAAGAGUCCUGGCAAUGUCACCUGACCAGGGCACAUGCUGUUAGUAGGUGAGGCCAAGAAGGACAGUUGCAGAGGUGUCGGUGGAGAGUGGAGUGAGGAGCCAUCUCAACAAUGCAGCAGCUUGAGAAGGGGCUCGGAGGUAGAAGCAGCAGCAUCUCUGUCUUCUUUGACCCAUGGCCUGCUCCAGUCUAUACCCCUUCCCGGAGGAA
Molecule: long non-coding RNA, 5702 nt
Organism: Oryctolagus cuniculus (rabbit)
Lineage: Eukaryota; Metazoa; Chordata; Mammalia; Lagomorpha; Leporidae
Source: RefSeq, a predicted model, not a curated record